CUCCCCGCAGACGUCCACUCUGCAGAAGUGAGAUGGGGUUUUGGUUGCGGAACAGGCCAGGAGGGAGGCAUCUCGUGAGGACUGGUAACCGCGAGCUUUGGGGGUGCAUCUGAAAGACAAAAGGCAGAAACCAUUUGGGAUCUGUUGGCAGAUAUGAACAGAUUCACCCUCUAUAUAAAUAUGAAGAGAAGAAGAUCCCAUCACAGCCUGUAGAAGCUGGGAAAGGCAAGAAAAUUAAUGCUCCCCUAGAACUUCUGGAGGGAAUGAAUCUCUGUCAACACCUUGAUUUUAGUUUGGUAGACUUGUAUAGGAACUCUAACCUCCAUAAGUGUAACAUAAUAGAUUUAUAUUGAUUUAA
Long non-coding RNA from Hyaena hyaena (striped hyena), 358 nucleotides. RefSeq lists it as uncharacterized. The record is from RefSeq and is a predicted model, not a curated record. The transcript is spliced from 2 exons. Lineage: Eukaryota; Metazoa; Chordata; Mammalia; Carnivora; Hyaenidae.